ACAGGGUGACAGCCCCGUACACAAAAAUGCACAUGCUGUGAGCUCGAUGAGUAGGGCGGGACACGUGGUAUCCUGUCUGAAUAUGGGGGGACCAUCCUCCAAGGCUAAAUACUCCUGACUGACCGAUAGUGAACCAGUACCGUGAGGGAAAGGCGAAAAGAACCCCGGCGAGGGGAGUGAAAAAGAACCUGAAACCGUGUACGUACAAGCAGUGGGAGCCUCUUAAUGGGGUGACUGCGUACCUUUUGUAUAAUGGGUCAGCGACUUAUAUUCUGUAGCAAGGUUAACCGAAUAGGGGAGCCGAAGGGAAACCGAGUCUUAACUGGGCGCUAAGUUGCAGGGUAUAGACCCGAAACCCGGUGAUCUAGCCAUGGGCAGGUUGAAGGUUGGGUAACACUAACUGGAGGACCGAACCGACUAAUGUUGAAAAAUUAGCGGAUGACUUGUGGCUGGGGGUGAAAGGCCAAUCAAACCGGGAGAUAGCUGGUUCUCCCCGAAAGCUAUUUAGGUAGCGCCUCGUGAAUUCAUCUCCGGGGGUAGAGCACUGUUUCGGCAAGGGGGUCAUCCCGACUUACCAACCCGAUGCAAACUGCGAAUACCGGAGAAUGUUAUCACGGGAGACACACGGCGGGUGCUAACGUCCGUCGUGAAGAGGGAAACAACCCAGACCGCCAGCUAAGGUCCCAAAGUCAUGGUUAAGUGGGAAACGAUGUGGGAAGGCCCAGACAGCCAGGAUGUUGGCUUAGAAGCAGCCAUCAUUUAAAGAAAGCGUAAUAGCUCACUGGUCGAGUCGGCCUGCGCGGAAGAUGUAACGGGGCUAAACCAUGCACCGAAGCUGCGGCAGCGACACUAUGUGUUGUUGGGUAGGGGAGCGUUCUGUAAGCCUGUGAAGGUGGCCUGUGAGGGUUGCUGGAGGUAUCAGAAGUGCGAAUGCUGACAUAAGUAACGAUAAAGCGGGUGAAAAGCCCGCUCGCCGGAAGACCAAGGGUUCCUGUCCAACGUUAAUCGGGGCAGGGUGAGUCGACCCCUAAGGCGAGGCCGAAAGGCGUAGUCGAUGGGAAACAGGUUAAUAUUCCUGUACUUGGUGUUACUGCGAAGGGGGGACGGAGAAGGCUAUGUUGGCCGGGCGACGGUUGUCCCGGUUUAAGCGUGUAGGCUGGUUUUCCAGGCAAAUCCGGAAAACCAAGGCUGAGGCGUGAUGACGAGGCACUACGGUGCUGAAGCGACAAAUGCCCUGCUUCCAGGAAAAGCCUCUAAGCAUCAGGUAACAUCAAAUCGUACCCCAAACCGACACAGGUGGUCAGGUAGAGAAUACCAAGGCGCUUGAGAGAACUCGGGUGAAGGAACUAGGCAAAAUGGUGCCGUAACUUCGGGAGAAGGCACGCUGAUAUGUAGGUGAAGCGACUUGCUCGUGGAGCUGAAAUCAGUCGAAGAUACCAGCUGGCUGCAACUGUUUAUUAAAAACACAGCACUGUGCAAACACGAAAGUGGACGUAUACGGUGUGACGCCUGCCCGGUGCCGGAAG
This 1526-nucleotide ribosomal RNA is filed under the name Escherichia coli. Its description in RNAcentral is "partial 23S ribosomal RNA". It matches the Rfam family "Bacterial large subunit ribosomal RNA", at positions 359 to 1875 of the family's 2925-position model. Lineage: Bacteria; Pseudomonadati; Pseudomonadota; Gammaproteobacteria; Enterobacterales; Enterobacteriaceae. The record is from RNAcentral.